Molecule: ribosomal RNA, 500 nt
Filed under: uncultured bacterium
Lineage: Bacteria
Description: bacterial SSU rRNA
Rfam family: Bacterial small subunit ribosomal RNA
Source: RNAcentral
AAAUGAAUAGACGGGGGCCCUUCCCCUCUUUUUCUCCUUUUUUUUCCUUCUCUUCCCCGCGAAGAACCUUACCCGGUCUUGACAUCUGCAGUAGGUUUCCGCGAUGAGGCCGUGCCGGCUUUGCCGGAGCUGCAAGACAGGUGCUGCAUGGCUGUCGUCAGCUCGUGUCGUGAGAUGUUGGGUUACGUCCCGCAACGAGCGCAACCCCUGCUUCCAGUUACCAUCAUUUAGUUGGGGACUCUGGAAGGACCGCUGCGGUAACAACGCAGAGGAAGAUGGGGACGACGUCAAGUCAUCAUGGUCCUUAUGUCCGGGGCUACACACGUGCUACAAUGGUAGUUACAGAGGGAAGCGAAGCUGCGAGGUGGAGCGAAUCUCAUAAAAGCUGCCACAGUUCGGAUUGAGGUCUGCAACUCGACCUCAUGAAGUCGGAAUCGCUAGUAAUCGCGCAACAUCAUGGCGCGGUGAAUACGUUCCCGGGCCUUGCACACACCGCCCGU